UACGAAGGGGGCUAGCGUUGUUCGGAAUUACUGGGCGUAAAGCGUAUGCAGGCGGAUCGUUAAGUCAUACGUGAAAUCCCUCGGCUUAACCGGGGAACUGCGUCUGAUACUGGAUGGCUUGAGUUCGGGAGAGGGAUGCGGAAUUCCAGGUGUAGCGGUGAAAUGCGUAGAUAUCUGGAGGAACACCGGUGGCGAAGGCGGCAUCCUGGACCGAUACUGACGCUGAGGAGCGAAAGCCAGGGGAGCAAACGGG
This 253-nucleotide ribosomal RNA is filed under the name uncultured bacterium. Its description in RNAcentral is "partial 16S ribosomal RNA". It matches the Rfam family "Bacterial small subunit ribosomal RNA", at positions 524 to 776 of the family's 1533-position model. The record is from RNAcentral.